Molecule: transfer RNA, 57 nt
Filed under: Cyrtodactylus sp.
Lineage: Eukaryota; Metazoa; Chordata; Lepidosauria; Squamata; Gekkonidae
Description: partial tRNA-Tyr
Source: RNAcentral
GGCCGAGUAGGCGGCGAGUUGUAGCCUCGUGCACGGGCGCCUGCGCCCCCCAACCAG